UGCCAUAUCAAUAAGCUGAGGAAAAGAAACCAACAGGGAUUGCCUCAGUAGCGGCGAGUGAAGCGGCAAAAGCUCAAAUUUGAAAUCUGGCGUCUUUGGCGUCCGAGUUGUAAUUUGAAGAAGGUAUCUUUGGGCCCGGCUCUUGUCUAUGUUCCUUGGAACAGGACGUCACAGAGGGUGAGAAUCCCGUGCGAUGAGAUGGCCCGGGUCUAUAUAAAGUUCCUUCGACGAGUCGAGUUGUUUGGGAAUA
Molecule: ribosomal RNA, 250 nt
Filed under: uncultured yeast
Lineage: Eukaryota; Fungi
Description: partial 26S ribosomal RNA
Rfam family: Eukaryotic large subunit ribosomal RNA
Source: RNAcentral